UGUAAACCAUAUGUGUCAUACAAAUUAGUCCCAAGACACAAAAAACAGAACAAAUUUUAAUGAACUGAAAUCGAUGCAUUGGGUAGAUGGGAUGUUUUUAUCCAUUUCUAUUCAAGGCCACCUUGUUGUAUAUAAAUGUCUCUUGUUUGGUGUAAAUACCCGGUAUAUAUGGCUUCUGCAAUGUAAUCCUAUUCAAGAAAGAAAU
This is a non-coding RNA of Pelobates cultripes (western spadefoot toad), 205 nucleotides long. The record is from the annotation of a GenBank genome assembly. NCBI's taxonomy places the organism in Eukaryota, Metazoa, Chordata, Amphibia, Anura, Pelobatidae.